CAGGGAUUGCCCUAGUAACGGCGAGUGAAGCGGCAACAGCUCAAAUUUGAAAUCUGGCUUCGGCCCGAGUUGUAAUUUGCAGAGGAUGUUUCUGGCGCGGUGCCUUCCGAGUUCCCUGGAACGGGACGCCACAGAGGGUGAGAGCCCCGUAUGGUUGGACACCAAGCCUGUGUGAAACUCCUUCGACGAGUCGAGUAGUUUGGGAAUGCUGCUCAAAAUGGGAGGUAAAUCUCUUCUAAAGCUAAAUACCGGCCAGAGACCGAUAGCGCACAAGUAGAGUGAUCGAAAGAUGAAAAGCACCUUGAAAAGGGGGUUAAACAGUACGUGAAAUUGUUGAAAGGGAAGCACUUGUGACCAGACUUGUGCCGGGCGGUUCAUCCGGGGUUCUCCCCGGUGCACUCCGCCCGGUAUAGGCCAGCAUCGGUUCUUUCUGGGGGAUAAGAACGGUGGGAACGUGGCCCUCCCUCGGGAGGGUGUUAUAGCCCGCCGUACGAUACCCUGGAGGGGACCGAGGUUCGCGCUCCGCAAGGAUGCUGGCGUAAUGGUCACCAGUGACCCGUCUU
Molecule: ribosomal RNA, 563 nt
Filed under: Dendrostoma osmanthi
Lineage: Eukaryota; Fungi; Ascomycota; Sordariomycetes; Diaporthales; Erythrogloeaceae
Description: eukaryotic LSU rRNA
Rfam family: Eukaryotic large subunit ribosomal RNA
Source: RNAcentral